This 434-nucleotide ribosomal RNA is filed under the name uncultured bacterium. RNAcentral's name for it is "partial 16S ribosomal RNA". It matches the Rfam family "Bacterial small subunit ribosomal RNA", at positions 29 to 507 of the family's 1533-position model. The record is from RNAcentral.
AGCGAACGCUGGCGGCAGGCCUAACACAUGCAAGUCGAACGAACCUUUCGGGGUUAGUGGCGGACGGGUGAGUAACACGUGGGAACGUGCCUUUAGGUUCGGAAUAACUCAGGGAAACUUGUGCUAAUACCGAAUGUGCCCUUCGGGGGAAAGAUUAAUCGCCUUUAGAGCGGCCCGCGUCUGAUUAGCUAGUUGGUUGAGGUAAUGGCUCACCAAGGCGACGAUCAGUAGCUGGUCUGAGAGGAUGAUCAGCCACAUUGGGACUGAGACACGGCCCAAACUCCUACGGGAGGCAGCAGUGGGGAAUCUUGCGCAAUGGGCGAAAGCCUAACGCAGCCAUGCCGCGUGAAUGAUGAAGGUCUUAGGAUUGUAAAAUUCUUUCACCGGGGACGAUAAUGACGGUACCCGGAGAAGAAGCCCCGGCUAACUUCGUG